GACGAACGCUGGCGGCGUGCCUAAUACAUGCAAGUCGAGCGAAUCAGUGGGAGCUUGCUCCCUGAGAUUAGCGGCGGACGGGUGAGUAACACGUGGGUAACCUGCCUGUAAGACUGGGAUAACUUCGGGAAACCGGAGCUAAUACCGGAUACGUUCUUUUCUCGCAUGAGGAGAGAUGGAUAGAUGGUUCUGCUAUCACUUACAGAUGGACCCGCGGCGCAUUAGCUAGUUGGUGAGGUAACGGCUCACCAAGGCGACGAUGCGUAGCCGACCGGGGGGGGUGAUCGGCCACACUGGGACUGAGGCACGGCCCAGACUCCUACGGGAGGCAGCAGUAGGGAAUCUUCCGCAAUGGACGAAAGUCUGACGGAGCAACGCCGCGUGAGCGAAGAAGGCCUUCGGGUCGUAAAGCUCUGUUGUUAGGGAAGAACAAGUACGAGAGUAACUGCUCGUACCUUGACGGUACCUAACCAGAAAGCCACGGCUAACUACGUGCCAGCCGCCGCGGUAA
This 511-nucleotide ribosomal RNA is filed under the name uncultured bacterium. RNAcentral's name for it is "partial 16S ribosomal RNA". It matches the Rfam family "Bacterial small subunit ribosomal RNA", at positions 28 to 523 of the family's 1533-position model. The record is from RNAcentral.